GCCAUUUUGGAGCAUGCGCAGUGGCGUCUUUCGCGGUGUAUUGUGGGAUAUAGCGGGACAGAUGGAGGGCGCCAUUUUGGAGCAUGCGCAGUGGCUGCUUCCGCGGUGUAUUGUGGGAUAUUGCGAGGCAGAUGGAGGGCGCCAUUUUCUGAGCAUGCGCAGUGGUUUCUUUCGCGGUGUAUUGUGGGAUAUAGCGGGGGAGAUGGAGGGCGCCAUUUCUGAGCAUGCGCAGUGGCGUCUUUCGCGGUGCAUUGUGGGAUAUAGCAGGGAAGAUGGAGGGCGCCAUUUUGGAGCAUGCGCAGUGGCGUCUUUCGCGGUGUAUUGUGGGAUAUAGCGAGUCAUAUGGAGGGAGCCAUCUUGAAGCAUGCGCAGUGGCGUCUUUCGCGGCGUAUUGUGGGAUAUAGCGAGUCAGAUGGAGGGCGCCAUUUUGGUGCAUGCGCAACAGGAUUGCGUCCUGAGGACUGUGGGAUAUAACGAGGCACCUGGGGGCCGCCAUCUUUUUCCGGUUCGGGGCCGCGUGGGGCGAAUCGCCGCUUCUCCACGUUCCGCGAUGGGGCUGAGGAGGACGCGGGGCUCCCGCGGGGCCGGGGCCGCUCCGAGGUUGGAGCCCGAGGCGGCCGCGUAUUUCCAGAGGGCCCUGGAGACGCUGCAGGAGGGGCUGAGCCCCGAGGAGAUGGCUCUCUUCGCCCCCAACGUCCUGGAGGAGGCGGCGGCCGCGUGCCCUGCGCUGUCCCUGCACCCGGAGGGCUCCGUCCUGCUGCAGUCGCUGCUGCCCCACGCUCCCCCCCGAGCCCUGGGCCGGGUGCUGGGGGCCAUGGUGGGGGGGGAGG
This is a long non-coding RNA of Numida meleagris (helmeted guineafowl), 830 nucleotides long. The record is from Ensembl. NCBI's taxonomy places the organism in Eukaryota, Metazoa, Chordata, Aves, Galliformes, Numididae.